This 928-nucleotide long non-coding RNA is filed under the name Gopherus agassizii (Agassiz's desert tortoise). RNAcentral's name for it is "lncRNA (ENSGAGG00000012566.1)". The record is from RNAcentral. Lineage: Eukaryota; Metazoa; Chordata; Testudines; Testudinidae.
CUGAAGUGCAAGGAAGAACUGGAGAACAAUGCAAAGAAAGGAGAGGUAAAAAAUUAGCCUUUUUUUUUUUAAAGAAGAUCUUGUAAAGAAGAAAUAAAUCUUUAAAAAACUGAGUCUUCCCCUGACCCAAAUGGGUGAAAGGUGACAAUGCAGAAAAAAGCAUAUGCCCUAACUUUCUCUAUUCCUUCUUUACUUUUAGAGCUGGGAUGAGUCCCAUGGUACUGGUUCUGGUUACCUGACUGGCUGGGCAUAUCUCCUGUGGUCAAAUGAGCUAGUAGAAGCCAUAAUGACUUUCUUUUUCAGAGACAGAAGAAGCAGCUGUGUAUUCUGGUGCAGUGUGGAGAAAGGGUUGUUUAAUGUUUCUUCACCCUGAAGACAGCCCAAGAUUUUAGGAUCUCGCCUGGCAGCCUCUCACAAAAGCAUUAUGAGAGAGCAAAUAUUCCAAGUUGUUGGAGUAUUCAGCCAAUGAGAAGACAAUAAAAGCCAUGGACCCUCCCAGCGCUGUGCCCUACGCCCGCCUGGAGAUCCCCGACCUCGACUCCGUGCCCUCCUACAAGUACUGGUCCAUCUUCAACAUCCUGUGCUGCUGCCUGCCCCUGGGGCUGGUCGCUAUCUUCUACUCGGGACAGUGCUGUUUCUGGGGCUGAUCCAGAGCAUUGCUGAAGACCAGCAUCUCCCUGACUUCAAUAGGAGCCACAGGUCCUCAGCACUCUUGGAAACAAGCAGAGAGAUUGUGGAGGAGUGCCUAGCACGCAGAGACAUCACAGGAGCAAAGGCAGCCUCCAACACUGCAAGAACCAUCAACAUCCUCGCCGUGGUGAUCGGGCUGGCAUGCAUUAGUGUGACCAUAUUCUUUAUGAUCCAGAGAUUUGAGCUGCUCCAAGCAGCACAACCCACCCAGUUUCCCUUACAUUAUAAUUUCGGCUGA